Molecule: unclassified non-coding RNA, 287 nt
Filed under: Streptomyces sampsonii
Lineage: Bacteria; Bacillati; Actinomycetota; Actinomycetes; Kitasatosporales; Streptomycetaceae
Description: partial 16S-23S ribosomal RNA intergenic spacer
Source: RNAcentral
AAGGAGCACUUCUUGACUGCCGGCCCUCGGGCUUGGUGGUCCAGAGGCCAGUUCAUCAGCGAACGUCUGAUGCUGGUUGCUCAUGGGUGGAACGUUGACUAUUCGGCACAGUGGAUUCGAUGGUUUUGCUAGUACUGCUUCGGCGUGGAACGCAAGGUCAUGGGUCGGCUGGGCCGGGCACGCUGUUGGGUGUCUGAGGGAGCGGCCACGAUGUGGCUGUUUCUUCGGUUGCCGGCCCCAGUGAACUCGGGAUGUUUGGUCUCGGGGUGGUGGGUGGUUGGUCGUUG